UCCUACGGGAGGCAGCAGUGGGGAAUAUUGCACAAUGGGCGCAAGCCUGAUGCAGCCAUGCCGCGUGUAUGAAGAAGGCCUUAGGGUUGUAAAGUACUUUCAGCGGGGAGGAAGGUGAUAAGGUUAAUACCCUUAUCAAUUGACGUUACCCGCAGAAGAAGCACCGGCUAACUCCGUGCCAGCAGCCGCGGUAAUACGGAGGGUGCAAGCGUUAAUCGGAAUUACUGGGCGUAAAGCGCACGCAGGCGGUCAAUUAAGUCAGAUGUGAAAGCCCCGAGCUUAACUUGGGAAUUGCAUCUGAAACUGGUUGGCUAGAGUCUUGUAGAGGGGGGUAGAAUUCCAUGUGUAGCGGUGAAAUGCGUAGAGAUGUGGAGGAAUMCCGGUGGCGAAGGCGGCCCCCUGGACAAAGAC
RNAcentral lists this ribosomal RNA (411 nucleotides) under Proteus mirabilis. RNAcentral describes it as "bacterial SSU rRNA". Lineage: Bacteria; Pseudomonadati; Pseudomonadota; Gammaproteobacteria; Enterobacterales; Morganellaceae. The record is from RNAcentral.